CUAAAAUGGCUUGCGUGGAGGUGGGAAGUAAGAAGUUUGAAAUUUUGGAGUUCCCAUAUGUUGUUUGCCAAUUGCAUACUCUUCCAAAUAAAGUCAGCAGGAGGAGAGGAUGUUGGUCUAAUUAGCAGCAAAAGAAUCUACCAUCUCCUCAGCACCUGUCACUGCGGGCUCAACUCUGCCGCCUGGUGGCUGGGGACAGGAAAUGAAUGUUGGAGUGCCCCUGCAUUGCUUCUGUGUAUAGUCAUGUCAUAUUUAUAUGGACACUAGAGGGUGCUCAGGGCACACUCAUGCUCAUACUAUGCUUGAAGCCAUACAACAAACCUGGGUCUAAAGAAGGCCAGAGGUGAGAUUUUCUGUAGUCUUAGAUGCUUAAAGACAAGUAUGAUCUGUUAAAAAAAUAUAUAUGUUAAAAAUGUGUUAUUCUUAGAAAGACAAUAAUUUGCAAUGUUUUCUUGUACUUUUUCCCAAGAUGACGUUCCAACCUGCAAGAAAAUUCAAUGGGAUUUCUGAAAUCAACAUCAAAGACCAGAAACUCAUGUUGCCUGCUCCUGGAAGCAAAUGCCAAGACCACAUAUGAAACCUCUGUCCCCUUUAGGGGUCAUGAAAAAAGCAAGAUGUGGAACUCCCAUUCAUUCACAAAUGCUAGGAGACAUUUUACUGUCCUUAUUUACAACAGCAAAACAAUAAGCCAAUACACAGCUAGAAUACGCAAGGGAUUAAACUUUACUCAGCUGUGGCUAGAGAGGGGUCUUGUUAACCUCAGAGGUUACAAAUUCUGUAAUCUAGAAGGAUAUUGUUUUAAUGAUUAUCUGAUUCAGAAAAAGAUGGGGCCGGAUUAUUGUGAUUUAAGGAAUUUGGAGAAAUUUCAGUGCGUAAAGUCUAAGGUGUAGAGUCUGAAGCUGAACAUAGAGACACAAAAGACUACAUUCGCAAGCUAUUGUUAAGCACUACAAUAUUGUGUUACGUUCACAAAUUCCAUUAAAGCAUUAGGUUAACCAUGUCCAGAAACUGUGUCAAUUUCUCUGUGCUCAAAGGCAUUUGGGAUUGACCAUCACACAGUAAAAAACAUGUAUUCUGAUGAAUUUGUAGACACCAUGUUCUCCAGACCAAAGACAAAAAGGACCACCCAGACUGAUAUCAGUAAGCCUAAGCAAAAGUUAGGGUCUGUCAUAGUAUCAGAUUGUCUCAGUACACUUCUGUAAAGGCAGCAUUAAUGCAGAAAUGUACAUUGAGUUCUUACAGCGACACAUUUAUAUUACAUUACAUUUAUAUUACAAAAACACAAGCUGCACACAUUACAAAGACAUGGCUACAAAAAAAAGAAUAGGUACAGCUAUUGAACUGGAUUGCCUUCUGUCCUGACCUGUCCCUAAUACAGAAUGUGUGGAGAGGUUGUUGUGCGGAGGGAUGGCUACCUUAAAUACCGUCAGAUGCGUUACCUUCUCAAUUCUGCUGGAAUCUGUUGCAGGCCUGUAAUGCAGGAAUGGUAUGCAUGUUAAAAGAUUAAAUUAAGCUAACCAGAAUAGUUUUAUUUGCAACUUUUUCUGAUAUUAUGCUGUAGAAGAUGACAUGCACAGAUAUUGAGUCUGAAGUCUAUAUAGAUAUACUUCUCUGGAAAAAAAAAUAAGAGACCGCUUCAGUUUCUGAAUCAGUUUCUCUGAUUUUGCUAUUUAUAGGUAUAUGUUUGAGUAAAAUGAACAGUGUUGUUUUAUGAUACAAAACUCAAACAACAUUUCUCCCAAAUUCCAAAUAAAAAUAUUGUCAUUUAGAGCA
Molecule: long non-coding RNA, 1773 nt
Filed under: Astyanax mexicanus (Mexican tetra)
Lineage: Eukaryota; Metazoa; Chordata; Actinopteri; Characiformes; Acestrorhamphidae
Description: lncRNA (ENSAMXG00005012120.1)
Source: RNAcentral